Molecule: ribosomal RNA, 1243 nt
Filed under: metagenome
Description: bacterial LSU rRNA
Rfam family: Bacterial large subunit ribosomal RNA
Source: RNAcentral
UGAGUACGAGAUGCUACGGCGUCGAAGCAGUCUAGGUCAUACUUCCAAGAAAAGCUUGCACUGUCAUAAACAAAGAAUGCCUGUACCAUAACCGACACAGGUGGGUAGGUAGAGUAUACUAAGGGGCGCGAGAUAACUCUCUCUAAGGAACUCGGCAAAAUGACCCCGUAACUUCGGGAGAAGGAGUGCCUUAUUUUUAAGGUUGCAAUAACAAGAUCCAAGCAACUGUUUACCAAAAACACAGGUCUCCGCUAAGUCGUAAGACGAUGUAUGGGGGCUGACGCCUGCCCAGUGCCAGAAGGUUAAAGAAGUUGGUUAGCAUUUGCGAAGCUGAUAACUGAAGCCCUGGUGAACGGCGGCCGUAACUAUAACGGUCCUAAGGUAGCGAAAUUCCUUGUCGGGUAAGUUCCGACCCGCACGAAAGGCGUAAUGAUUUGGAUACUGUCUCGGAGAGGGGCUCGGUGAAAUAGACUUGUCUGUGAAGAUGCGGACUACCUGCACCUGGACAGAAAGACCCUAUGAAGCUUUACUGUAACUUGAGAUUGAAAUUGGACUUUAUUUGCGCAGUAUAGGUGGGAGGCGUUGAGAAUAAUCUUGCGGGAUUAUCGGAGCCAUCAGUGAGAUACCACUCUUGUAAUGUUAGAUUUCUAACUUUGUAUCAUUAUCUGGUCAAAGAACAGUUUCAGGCGGGCAGUUUGACUGGGGCGGUCGCCUCCCAAAGGGUAACGGAGGCGCACAAAGGUUUCCUCUGAACGGGUAGAAAUCGUAUCUAGAGUGUAAAGGCAUAAGGAAGCUUGACUGUGAGACCUACAAGUCGAGCAGGGACGAAAGUCGGUCUUAGUGAUCUGACGGUGCUGAGUGGAAAGGCCGUCACUCAACGGAUAAAAGUUACUCUAGGAUAACAGGCUGAUCUCCCCCAAGAGUUCACAUCGACGGGGAGGUUUGGCACCUCGAUGUCGGCUCAUCGCAUCCUGGGGCGGUAGUACGUCCCAAGGGUUGGGCUGUUCGCCCAUGAAAGCGGUACGCGAGCUGGGUUCAGAACGUCGUGAGACAGUUCGGUCCAUAUCCGGUGUAGGCGUUAGAAUAUUGAAAGGAGCCUUCUCUAGUACGAGAGGACCGAGAAGGACAUACCUCUGGUGUGCCAGUUAUCGUGCCAACGGUAAACGCUGGGUAGCUAUGUAUGGAGUGGAUAACCGCUGAAAGCAUCUAAGUGGGAAGCCCACCUUAAGAUAAGUAUUCUCAC